CACCGCCCGUCACACCAUGGGAGUGGGUGAUACCAGAAGCCGGUAGCAUAACCGAAAGGAGUGCGCCGACCACGGUAUGAUUCAUGACUGGGGUG
This 95-nucleotide ribosomal RNA is filed under the name uncultured bacterium. Its description in RNAcentral is "partial 16S ribosomal RNA". It matches the Rfam family "Bacterial small subunit ribosomal RNA", at positions 1388 to 1482 of the family's 1533-position model. The record is from RNAcentral.